RNAcentral lists this ribosomal RNA (914 nucleotides) under anaerobic digester metagenome. RNAcentral's name for it is "bacterial SSU rRNA". It matches the Rfam family "Bacterial small subunit ribosomal RNA", at positions 8 to 928 of the family's 1533-position model. The record is from RNAcentral.
AGAGUUUGAUCCUGGCUCAGGAUGAACGCUAGCUACAGGCUUAACACAUGCAAGUCGAGCGGUAUGUGCUUUAGUGCAUACAGCGGCAGACGGGUGAGUAACACGUAUCUAACCUUCCCCUUACUUGGGCAUAGCCUCUGGAAACGGAGAUUAAUUUCCGAUGUGGUGUACAUUUCGCAUGUUUUGCGCACCAAAGAUUUAUCGGUAAGGGAUGGGGAUGCGCUCCAUUAGGUUGUAGGUAGGGUAAUGGCCUACCUAGCCUAUGAUGGAUAGGGGUUCUGAGAGGAAGGUCCCCCACAUUGGAACUGCGACACGGUCCAAACUCCUACGGGAGGCAGCAGUGAGGAAUAUUGGUCAAUGGCCGGAAGGCUGAACCAGCCAAGUAGCGUGCAGGAUGACUGCCUUAUGGGUUGUAAACUGCUUUUUUACGGGAAUAAUUAUGAUCACGUGUGAUUAUUUGCAUGUACCGUAAGAAUAAGGAUCGGCUAACUCCGUGCCAGCAGCCGCGGUAAUACGGAGGAUCCUAGUGUUAUCCGGAUUUAUUGGGUUUAAAGGGAGCGUAGGCGGGAGGUCAAGUCAGCUGUGAAAUGUAUCUGCUUAACGGGUACACUGCAGUUGAAACUGGUUUUCUUGAGUGCGUAAGAGGCAGGCGGAAUUCGUUGUGUAGCGGUGAAAUGCUUAGAUAUGACGAGGAACUCCUAUUGCGAAGGCAGCUUGCUGGGUCGUUACUGACGCUGAUGCUCGAAGGUGCGGGGAUCAAACAGGAUUAGAUACCCUGGUAGUCCGCACAGUAAACUAUGGAUACUCUCUGCCGGCGAUACAUUGUCGGUGGCCAAGCGAAAGCGUUAAGUAUCCCACCUGGGGAGUACGUUCGCAAGAAUGAAACUCAAAGGAAUUGACGGGGGCCCGCACAA